This 434-nucleotide ribosomal RNA is filed under the name Cantikus kuhapimuk. Its description in RNAcentral is "partial 16S ribosomal RNA". It matches the Rfam family "Bacterial large subunit ribosomal RNA", at positions 1830 to 2597 of the family's 2925-position model. Lineage: Eukaryota; Metazoa; Arthropoda; Arachnida; Araneae; Pholcidae. The record is from RNAcentral.
UUCUCUAAGACUUAAUAAAUUAGAGUAAAACCUGCCCAAUGUCAAAUCAUAAACAGCCGCAGUUUAACCUGUGCUAAGGUAGCACAAUCACUUGCUUUUUAAUUAAAAGAUAGUAUGAAUGGUUCAACACCUAAAUUAAUCUCUCUUACAAAGAACAAUGAACCUAAGCUAAAAGUAAAAACUCUUUUACAUUAAGUGGGACGACAAGACCCUAACAAACUACUCUUUUAGUUGGGGAAACACUUUAAUCAAUCUUUAAAUUCCACUCAUAUACCAAACAUUAAUAAAAUAUAAAGAAAAGUUACUGUAGGGAUAACAGCGCAAUUUCUCAUAAAAGAUCUUAUUAAAUGAGAAGAUUACGACCUCGAUGUUGAAUUAGUUUCCCCAAAGGCGCAAUAGCCCUUAAGGGUAGUCUGUUCGACUAUUAAAAACCU